CCACUAUGCUUAGCCCUAAACACAAAUAAUUAUAAGAACAAAAUUAUUCGCCAGAGUACUACCGGCACAGCCCGAAACUCAAAGGACUUGGCGGUGCUUUAUACCCUUCU
RNAcentral lists this ribosomal RNA (110 nucleotides) under Ovis ammon (argali). Its description in RNAcentral is "partial small subunit ribosomal RNA". Lineage: Eukaryota; Metazoa; Chordata; Mammalia; Artiodactyla; Bovidae. The record is from RNAcentral.